AUGGCCUUGCCGGUGAUCCCCAGCAAGCUCCUGGCGGAUAUCUUCCUCCGCCUUCCCACCCCAGAGGACCUCAUCCGCGCCUCCGCCGUCUGCGUCUCCUUCCGCCGCCUCGUCGCCGACCGCGCCUUCCUCCGGCGCUUCCGCAAGCUCCACCCUCCGCCCCUCCUCGGCUUCGUCGACUACAGCGGCUUCCACCCCGCCGAACCGCCUCAUCCCUCCGCGCCGGCGGCCAGCGCCGUCGCCGACGACGACUUCGACUUCGACUUCGGCUUCCUCCCCGGGUCCUCCUUGGACUGGACCGUGCGUGAGGUCCGCGACGGCCGCGUCCUCCUCGACAGACCCGGCCGUCACGAGCCCCUCUUCAAGGAGACGGUGGUGUGCGACCCCCUGCACCGGCAGUACCUCCUGCUUCCCCCGAUCCCCGGUGACGUAGCCGCUUCGGUUGCGGUCCAACUCCUGAUAGAGAGGCGGGGCUUCGCCGAUUGCUUCCUCGUCCCUUCCGGCGACGAAGAAGAGGCAGACACAACGGAGGAGACGUCGUUCAGAGUGAUCUGGCUGGUGGUGCUUGAAAAUAAACCGGUCGCCGCUGUCUUCUCUUCCACCACAGGGCAAUGGCGAGCCAUUACACCCCUGAUUUGGAGCUUACCUGGCUUACAGUUAUCGACAUGGAAGUUUUGGUUCGUGUCGCGCCACUGCGCGCAUGGCUGCUUCUACUGGAUUUCAGGUUCAAUUGAAAAAUUGAUCGUGCUUGACAUCCGUAAGAUGGAGUUCUCCAUGGUUGAUCACCCACCCUGUGCCAGACAUUUGGGCGAUGAUGUGGCCAUCGCGGAGGGAGGCCAAGGCAGGACUAUGAUGUUUGUGCCUAAACCAGACACAAAAUGCCUUAUUUAUACUGUUUGGUGGCGAAAUAAUGGUGGGAAUUCCACCCAGUGGCAGAUGGAGAAGACAAUCUCGCUGGAUUCUGACUGCGUAAUCGAGGGUGCAGUUGGGAGGCACUUGCUCCUAUAUUAUGUCGGAGUCUCGUCGGCCAAGCAAGGUUGUUACACGCAGGACGUCGACACAUUGCAGCUUGAGAGGGUGUGUUAUUCAUGUCCAAAACAGUCACAAGUAUAUUGCAACUUCCCACCAUCGUUAUUAUCAUCACCGACAGUGUCAAGUGUCCCACGCCACGCCGACCACCGAGGAGUGGACGACGCUGUGCCGGCACCAGAACCACGAGAAGCUGACCUCGCUGGGGGACCGCCGUGCAAGCGCGGUCGUCGCAGCGGCCGCUCGGGCUCCAGAACCCGCGGAGGCGGGUCGCGGUGGACGGGGAGAAGGAGGCUGAGGCUUGACCCGUGGUGGACGAGGGCCUGGGGGCGGAUGAGGGGCCAGAUCAAGGUGUUGUCCAGGACGGCUGCGACCAAGUCCUUGGGCGGCAGGGGCUUGCCUUGA
Molecule: ribosomal RNA, 1434 nt
Filed under: Triticum aestivum (bread wheat)
Lineage: Eukaryota; Viridiplantae; Streptophyta; Magnoliopsida; Poales; Poaceae
Description: partial small subunit ribosomal RNA
Source: RNAcentral